This is a non-coding RNA of Paramuricea clavata, 896 nucleotides long. NCBI's taxonomy places the organism in Eukaryota, Metazoa, Cnidaria, Anthozoa, Malacalcyonacea, Plexauridae. The record is from the annotation of a GenBank genome assembly.
CCACGAACAGGUAGGCAAUUUGUCUGAGCAUGCACGCAGAAAACCAAUAUGGCGACAUAUAUUAGGAGUGUUUCGUGAAUUUAUCUGGUUUUAAAGCUGAUAAAACAACAUUUUAAUGAACGAAAACUUUGUGAUAUUUAGUGGAAAACAUUAAAGUGCCCCUGACACAAAAAUUGAUUUUUUGUGUGUUGAAAGUACACAUUAUGUGGAGUGUUUUGGUGAAAGAAUUUUUUGAUUUCAUUAAAAAGGAAAAUUUUUAGAGCGGUUUAAACACAUAAAUUUUUGGCACAUGGACGUCGGCUACAGGAGUCUGGGGAUAGCAUUUUUUGUGACGUCACGCAAAUGAGUCAAAUCUUGACGGUCUGUUAGACUUUUAUCAGUUUUGAUCAGCUCAAAGGUUUUGAUCGCUGAACGGCUGAAGUGUUUUUAUAUUCUAAAUUCUAUCAUGGUUCUAUAAAGUAUCAUGUCGACAACAGAAUCCGACAGUAGCGAUCAGUCCGAUGAUUCCAGUGCGAAUUUUAUACCUGGUUAAUAUAUGUUGUGUUGGAAGAUGCUGAUCAAUAACACGCCAGGUCCCUAGUAUUAUCAUUAAAACCACCAAAUCUACACGACGCGGACGUGACGAAAAACUGCCGCUAUUAUCACAAUUUCACUUCACGAGUAAAACUAUGGAUUGUUGUUGGUAAACAAAGCUAGGGGACACGAGAAAAAUAAAAUAAAACUAGUCUCCCAUUAUUAGCGACUGUUUUUAGUCUGCGUCUCAGAUUUGGCGCAUCUUGCCUGGCCCUCUGCUAACGUAGACGUUCUAUGGCUUUGCAAAGUUUAUAUCUCCGGUUCGGUGCAUGAUAUGAAGACAAAAAUACUACGACUCGUUUCAGUGAAACAAGCCACCCUUG